UGUAUAAUGGGUCAGCGACUUAUAUUCUGUAGCAAGGUUAACCGAAUAGGGGAGCCGAAGGGAAACCGAGUCUUAACUGGGCGUUAAGUUGCAGGGUAUAGACCCGAAACCCGGUGAUCUAGCCAUGGGCAGGUUGAAGGUUGGGUAACACUAACUGGAGGACCGAACCGACUAAUGUUGAAAAAUUAGCGGAUGACUUGUGGCUGGGGGUGAAAGGCCAAUCAAACCGGGAGAUAGCUGGUUCUCCCCGAAAGCUAUUUAGGUAGCGCCUCGUGAAUUCAUCUCCGGGGGUAGAGCACUGUUUCGGCAAGGGGGUCAUCCCGACUUACCAACCCGAUGCAAACUGCGAAUACCGGAGAAUGUUAUCACGGGAGACACACGGCGGGUGCUAACGUCCGUCGUGAAGAGGGAAACAACCCAGACCGCCAGCUAAGGUCCCAAAGUCAUGGUUAAGUGGGAAACGAUGUGGGAAGGCCCAGACAGCCAGGAUGUUGGCUUAGAAGCAGCCAUCAUUUAAAGAAAGCGUAAUAGCUCACUGGUCGAGUCGGCCUGCGCGGAAGAUGUAACGGGGCUAAACCAUGCACCGAAGCUGCGGCAGCGACGCUUAUGCGUUGUUGGGUAGGGGAGCGUUCUGUAAGCCUGUGAAGGUGGCCUGUGAGGGUUGCUGGAGGUAUCAGAAGUGCGAAUGCUGACAUAAGUAACGAUAAAGCGGGUGAAAAGCCCGCUCGCCGGAAGACCAAGGGUUCCUGUCCAACGUUAAUCGGGGCAGGGUGAGUCGACCCCUAAGGCGAGGCCGAAAGGCGUAGUCGAUGGGAAACAGGUUAAUAUUCCUGUACUUGGUGUUACUGCGAAGGGGGGACGGAGAAGGCUAUGUUGGCCGGGCGACGGUUGUCCCGGUUUAAGCGUGUAGGCUGGUUUUCCAGGCAAAUCCGGAAAACCAAGGCUGAGGCGUGAUGACGAGGCACUACGGUGCUGAAGCGACAAAUGCCCUGCUUCCAGGAAAAGCCUCUAAGCAUCAGGUAACAUCAAAUCGUACCCCAAACCGACACAGGUGGUCAGGUAGAGAAUACCAAGGCGCUUGAGAGAACUCGGGUGAAGGAACUAGGCAAAAUGGUGCCGUAACUUCGGGAGAAGGCACGCUGAUAUGUAGGUGAAGCGACUUGCUCGUGGAGCUGAAAUCAGUCGAAGAUACCAGCUGGCUGCAACUGUUUAUUAAAAACACAGCACUGUGCAAACACGAAAGUGGACGUAUACGGUGUGACGCCUGCCCGGUGCCGGAAG
Molecule: ribosomal RNA, 1281 nt
Filed under: Escherichia coli
Lineage: Bacteria; Pseudomonadati; Pseudomonadota; Gammaproteobacteria; Enterobacterales; Enterobacteriaceae
Description: bacterial LSU rRNA
Rfam family: Bacterial large subunit ribosomal RNA
Source: RNAcentral